This 207-nucleotide ribosomal RNA is filed under the name uncultured bacterium. RNAcentral describes it as "partial 16S ribosomal RNA". It matches the Rfam family "Bacterial small subunit ribosomal RNA", at positions 568 to 774 of the family's 1533-position model. The record is from RNAcentral.
CAUGUAGGCGGCCUAUUAAGUCGGGCGUGAAAAUGCGGGGCUCAACCCCGUAUGGCGCCCGAUACUGGUGGGCUUGAGUGCAGGAGAGGAAAGGGGAAUUCCCAGUGUAGCGGUGAAAUGCGUAGAUAUUGGGAGGAACACCAGUGGCGAAGGCGCCUUUCUGGACUGUGUCUGACGCUGAGAUGCGAAAGCCAGGGGGAGCGAACG